Molecule: long non-coding RNA, 345 nt
Organism: Myotis davidii
Lineage: Eukaryota; Metazoa; Chordata; Mammalia; Chiroptera; Vespertilionidae
Exons: 2
Source: RefSeq, a predicted model, not a curated record
UGAUGGCAGAUAGCAGUCUGCACACUGGUGAGAGCAGGUUAAAAACCCCAUUUCUUUCUUCCAGAUGCAAAAGGUCAUCCCUGGACAGAUGUUCCCUAUUCAUUAAUCCCCUGAUGGCUUACUCCAUCCCUCCUGGGGGUUACCAUCUUGAAACAGCAAAGGCCAACCCCAUCAUUUGAAUUAGCCAAUCGAGAAAGACUGUGUACCUGAGCUCCAAUCAAGAGCAGGGGAUAGUUCACGUGCAUUGGGGAUUAUAAAGCCGAGCAGACCCCCAGCUCAUGUGUGAGGACUUCCAGACCAUGUGUGCGCACCCUUCUGUGUCGAAGUAAAGAUGUGUGCCUUGCU